UACGGGGGGGGCAAGCGUUGUUCGGAAUUACUGGGCGUAAAGGGCGCGUAGGCGGCUCACUAAGUCGGAUGUGAAAACUCUGGGCUCAACCCAGAGCCUGCAUCCGAAACUAUUGGGCUAGAGUUCUGGAGGGGAAAGCGGAAUUCCUGGUGUAGCGGUGAAAUGCGUAGAUAUCAGGAGGAACACCGGUGGCGAAGGCGGCUUUCUGGACAGAAACUGACGCUGAGGCGCGAAAGCUAGGGGAGCAAACAGG
This 253-nucleotide ribosomal RNA is filed under the name uncultured bacterium. Its description in RNAcentral is "partial 16S ribosomal RNA". It matches the Rfam family "Bacterial small subunit ribosomal RNA", at positions 524 to 776 of the family's 1533-position model. The record is from RNAcentral.